AGAGGUGCAGGAGUGGUUGAACUGGCUUGCUUGGAAAGCAAGUAAACUGGAAACGGUUUCGGGGGUUCGAAUCCCUUCCUCUCCGCCA
Molecule: transfer RNA, 88 nt
Filed under: Crocinitomicaceae bacterium
Lineage: Bacteria; Pseudomonadati; Bacteroidota; Flavobacteriia; Flavobacteriales; Crocinitomicaceae
Description: tRNA-Ser
Rfam family: tRNA
About the family: Transfer RNA (tRNA) molecules are approximately 80 nucleotides in length. Their secondary structure includes four short double-helical elements and three loops (D, anti-codon, and T loops). Further hydrogen bonds mediate the characteristic L-shaped molecular structure. tRNAs have two regions of fundamental functional importance: the anti-codon, which is responsible for specific mRNA codon recognition, and the 3' end, to which the tRNAs corresponding amino acid is attached (by aminoacyl-tRNA synthetases). tRNAs cope with the degeneracy of the genetic code in two manners: having more than one tRNA (with a specific anti-codon) for a particular amino acid; and 'wobble' base-pairing, i.e. permitting non-standard base-pairing at the 3rd anti-codon position.
Source: RNAcentral